AGGACCCCGCGUCCAGGACAGGAAAGUGCGUGAUUUACAGCUAGAGGGACAGGCGCUGUCCCGGAGCCCGUCCUGGGCCAGGGAGCAGGAGGAUUUAGCACCCCUGACCUUGCUUACACACUCUGGAUACCACCUGCUGUGGAGUGGCGGAAGCAGACAUCCAGCGAUAGUUAGGUUUCCUGUCGUUGACACCCAAGCAAGAAAGGCGUGUACCUAACUGAGGACCUGCCCGUGAUAGAAGUCUCAGCUUUUCUCAGAGACAGAGGCAAGAUGGUGCACUUCCGGGUUCUUCUUCACCACCAACUCUUCCCGCAUGCGC
Piliocolobus tephrosceles (Ugandan red Colobus) is the source of this 319-nucleotide long non-coding RNA. RefSeq lists it as uncharacterized. The transcript has 3 exons. NCBI's taxonomy places the organism in Eukaryota, Metazoa, Chordata, Mammalia, Primates, Cercopithecidae. The record is from RefSeq and is a predicted model, not a curated record.